GUCCAUUUUGUCAAGCUUGUCAGUAAUACGACCCAAGGAGGUCAGGUGAUCCUAGGAAUGGUCCAAGACCUGAGGGAUGAAGGGCUCUCAUUGUCGCCACCCUGGGAUGGAGUGACUGAUCUAGCCGGUGUACAAGGGAUAGACAGUUCUUCCCCACCUUCUGGUAGUUGUGACAUGCUAUAAAACAAAAUAGAAGGUUACCUGGGGUAAUACCCAACUGGCUGACGUAACUAAUGCCAAGCGGCGAAACAAUUAGGUAGUUACGUGACAGGUUGCCAAGCGGCUGCG
Molecule: non-coding RNA, 288 nt
Organism: Pelobates cultripes (western spadefoot toad)
Lineage: Eukaryota; Metazoa; Chordata; Amphibia; Anura; Pelobatidae
Source: the annotation of a GenBank genome assembly